CCUUGAGCUCUCCCUAGCAGGCAGUGUGGCUGCAUGGUGGUGGUCUUCUCUUGAGCUGGGACACCUCUCAAGGUUGCUUCUCAAGGCAGAGAGACCUUUUACGAACAGCAGAUCUUUGGUUACGAUGUGGAUGAAGAUUUUUAUAAUGCAUGGCAAGAUUGGUUCCAGCCUGCCCUGUGUAACUGUGAAGAUGAUCUCUUACACCAGCAUGAAACCUAUGAAGUCCAACAAAGUAUUUUGGAUUUACUGUGCCACUAGAGCAUUGCAAAACCUGUCACCAGUUUUUUUUCUUGUAAUCAUUGUUUUUGUCUAAUUUUCAAGAAAAUAAAAUUAUGGACAUGAAAAA
Long non-coding RNA from Strigops habroptila (Kakapo), 346 nucleotides. RefSeq lists it as uncharacterized. The record is from RefSeq and is a predicted model, not a curated record. Lineage: Eukaryota; Metazoa; Chordata; Aves; Psittaciformes; Psittacidae. The transcript is spliced from 2 exons.